RNAcentral lists this transfer RNA (57 nucleotides) under Psephenothrips eriobotryae. RNAcentral's name for it is "tRNA-Ser". Lineage: Eukaryota; Metazoa; Arthropoda; Insecta; Thysanoptera; Phlaeothripidae. The record is from RNAcentral.
GGUAAACUUAAUUUAAAGUUUCUAACUUUAAAAAGCAUAUUUUCAUGUUAUUUACCU